UAUUAUAGGCCUAUCGCGCAAAACGUUGAAUACACGCCAUCCCGUCCGAUCUGGCAAGUUAAGCAACGUUGAGUCCAGUUAGUACUUGGAUCGGAGACGGCCUGGGAAUCCUGGAUGUUGUAAGCU
Molecule: non-coding RNA, 126 nt
Organism: Caenorhabditis japonica
Lineage: Eukaryota; Metazoa; Nematoda; Chromadorea; Rhabditida; Rhabditidae
Source: Rfam